Onychostoma macrolepis is the source of this 261-nucleotide long non-coding RNA. RefSeq lists it as uncharacterized. The transcript is spliced from 3 exons. The record is from RefSeq and is a predicted model, not a curated record. NCBI's taxonomy places the organism in Eukaryota, Metazoa, Chordata, Actinopteri, Cypriniformes, Cyprinidae.
GUUUGAGAGUGGCUGGAUAAUCAGACACAGCGGAGCUGUCUCCUCUCUCGGCCUGUUCCUAUCGCUCCUGUAAAGUGAAAGUGACAUGUGACACCCCCGGAAAAUGAUGAACUGACAUGAGGGACGAAAAAGGAAGGAGAGAGUUAGAUGGAGAGAGAAAGACGGAUCGGGGGAGGUGAAGAAAGACAAGGGAAAAAAAGAAGUUAUUUUCUGUGCAGGGUUCAGUGAACCAUAUGGAGGCCCGUUUCAUUCCCCACUGCA